Patagioenas fasciata monilis is the source of this 162-nucleotide ribosomal RNA. It matches the Rfam family "Eukaryotic small subunit ribosomal RNA", at positions 1667 to 1823 of the family's 1831-position model. NCBI's taxonomy places the organism in Eukaryota, Metazoa, Chordata, Aves, Columbiformes, Columbidae. The record is from Rfam.
CAUCACCCCUCACUACUACUGUUUGGAUGGUUUAGUGAGGUCCUCAGAUCGACCCUGGUGGGUUGGCCUUGGCCCUGCUGGAGUGUCAAGAAGAGGGUCGAACUUGACUGUCUAGAGGAAGUAAAAGUCAUAACAAGGUAUCCUUAGGUGAACCUGUGGAAG